This 126-nucleotide ribosomal RNA is filed under the name uncultured rumen bacterium. RNAcentral's name for it is "partial 16S ribosomal RNA". It matches the Rfam family "Bacterial small subunit ribosomal RNA", at positions 384 to 524 of the family's 1533-position model. The record is from RNAcentral.
UGACCCAGCAACGCCGCGUGAAGGAAGAAGGUCUUCGGAUUGUAAACAUCUGUCCUAUGGGACGAAGGAAGUGACGGUACCAUAGGAGGAAGCCCCGGCUAACUACGUGCCAGCAGCCGCGGUAAU